GCUGGAUGUGGUGGCGCACACCUGUAAUCCCAGCUACUCGGAGGCUGAGGUAGGAGAAUUGCUUGAACCCGGGAGGUGGAGGUUGCAGUGAGCUGAGAUCACACCACUGCACUCCAGCCUGGGUGACAGAGCAAGACUCUAUCUCAA
Papio anubis (olive baboon) is the source of this 147-nucleotide unclassified non-coding RNA. It matches the Rfam family "Metazoan signal recognition particle RNA". From Rfam's summary of the family: The signal recognition particle (SRP) is a universally conserved ribonucleoprotein. It is involved in the co-translational targeting of proteins to membranes. Lineage: Eukaryota; Metazoa; Chordata; Mammalia; Primates; Cercopithecidae. The record is from Ensembl.